RNAcentral lists this unclassified non-coding RNA (400 nucleotides) under soil metagenome. RNAcentral's name for it is "partial contains 5.8S ribosomal RNA, internal transcribed spacer 2, and large subunit ribosomal RNA". The stretch from base 1 to 121 matches the Rfam family "5.8S ribosomal RNA", at positions 35 to 154 of the family's 154-position model. The record is from RNAcentral.
GAUGAAGAACGCAGUGAAAUGCGAUAAGUAAUGUGAAUUGCAGAAUUCAGUGAAUCAUCGAAUCUUUGAACGCACCUUGCGCCCCUUGGUUAUUCCAAAGGGCAUGCCUGUUUGAGUAUCAUGAACACCUCAACUCUUGUGGUUUCCCACAAUGAGCUUGGACUGUGGAGGUUUUGUUGGCCCUGUGGUCAGCUCCUCUCAAAUGGAUCAGCUUACCGGUGUUUGGUGGCAUUACGGGUGUGAUAACUAUCUACGCUCGUGGUCGUCUCCAAAUAACCUCCAGUGAUGGAGGUUCGCUGGAGCUUAUAAAUGUCUCUCCCCAGUGAAGACAGCCUUUGAACGUUCGAUCUCAAAUCAGGUAGGACUACCCGCUGAACUUAAGCAUAUCAAUAACGGAGGA